RNAcentral lists this ribosomal RNA (305 nucleotides) under uncultured bacterium. RNAcentral describes it as "bacterial SSU rRNA". It matches the Rfam family "Bacterial small subunit ribosomal RNA", at positions 334 to 655 of the family's 1533-position model. The record is from RNAcentral.
UGAUCCUACGGGGGGCAGCAGUGGGGAAUCUUCCGCAAUGGGCGAAAGCCUGACGGAGCAAUGCCGCGUGAGUGAAGAAGGCUUUCGGAUUGUAAACUUCUGUUCUUAGUGAAGAAAAAUGACGGUAGCUAAGGAGCAAGCCACGGCUAACUACGUGCCAGCAGCCGCGGUAAUACGUAGGUGGCAAGCGUUGUCCGGAAUUACUGGGUGUAAAGGGAGCGCAGGCGGGAAGCCAAGUCAGUUGUGAAAACUACGGGCUUAACUUGUAGACUGCAGUUGAAACUGGUUUUCUUGAGUGAAGUAGG